This 1304-nucleotide ribosomal RNA is filed under the name Amanita sp. 'Arora-00-378'. Its description in RNAcentral is "partial large subunit ribosomal RNA". It matches the Rfam family "Eukaryotic large subunit ribosomal RNA", at positions 81 to 1353 of the family's 3401-position model. Lineage: Eukaryota; Fungi; Basidiomycota; Agaricomycetes; Agaricales; Amanitaceae. The record is from RNAcentral.
UAGUAGCUGCGAGUGAAGCGGAAAAGCUCAAAUUUAAAAUCUGGCAGUCUUUUUUUUCUUCUUUGGCUGUCUGAGUUGUAAUCUAGAGAAGUGCUUACCUGCACUGGACCAUGUAUAAGUCUCCUGGAAUGGAGCCUCACAGAGGGUGAGAAUCCCGUCUUUGACAUGGACUGCCAGUGUGUUGUGGUGUGCUCUCAAAGAGUCGAGUUGUUUGGGAAUGCAGCUCUAAAUGGGUGGUAAACUCCAUCUAAAGCUAAAUAUUGGCGAGAGACCGAUAGCGAACAAGUACCGUGAGGGAAAGAUGAAAAGGACUUUGGAAAGAGAGUUAAACAGUAUGUGAAAUUGUUGAAAGGGAAACGCUUGAAGUCAGUUAUGUUGGCUAGGGAUCAACCUAGCUAUUUAUUGCUGGGUGAAUUUCCUAGUCUGACAGGCCAAUGUCAGUCUUGACUGCUAGAAAAGAGCAGAGGGAAUGUGGCACCUUUGGGUGUGUUAUAGCUCUUUGUCAUAUGUGGCAGUUGGGACUGAGGGAUGCAGCGUGCCGUGAGGCUGGGUUUCGACCACGUUCGCGCUUAGGAUGUUGGCUUUUAAUGGCUUCAAUCGACCCGUCUUGAAACACGGACCAAGGAGUCUAACAUGCCUGCAAGUGUUUGGGUGGUGAAAACCCUUGUGCACAAUGAAAGUGAAAGUUGAGAUCCCUGUCAUGGGGAGCAUCGACGCCCGGACCUGAGCUUUUAGCAAAGGAUCUGCGGUAGAGCAUGCAUGUUGGGACCCGAAAGAUGGUGAACUAUGCCUGAAUAGGGCAAAGCCAGAGGAAACUCUGGUGGAGGCUCGUAGCGAUUCUGACGUGCAAAUCGAUCGUCAAAUUUGGGUAUAGGGGCGAAAGACUAAUCGAACCAUCUAGUAGCUGGUUCCUGCCGAAGUUUCCCUCAGGAUAGCAGAAGCUCAUUAUCAGAUUUAUGUGGUAAAGCGAAUGAUUAGAGGCCUUGGGGUUGAAACAACCUUAACCUAUUCUCAAACUUUAAAUAUGUAAGAACGAGUUGUCACUUGACUGGACUGCUCGGUGAUUGAGAGCUUCUAGUGGGCCAUUUUUGGUAAGCAGAACUGGCGAUGCGGGAUGAACCGAUCGCAAGGUUAAGGUGCCAGAGUUCACGCUCAUCAGACACCACAAAAGGUGUUAGUUCAUCUAGACAGCAGGACGGUGGCCAUGGAAGUCGGAAUCCGCUAAGGAGUGUGUAACAACUCACCUGCCGAAUGAACUAGCCCUGAAAAUGGAUGGCGCUUAAGCGUGACACCCAUACCUUGCU